RNAcentral lists this ribosomal RNA (253 nucleotides) under uncultured bacterium. RNAcentral's name for it is "partial 16S ribosomal RNA". It matches the Rfam family "Bacterial small subunit ribosomal RNA", at positions 524 to 776 of the family's 1533-position model. The record is from RNAcentral.
UACGUAGGGUGCGAGCGUUAAUCGGAAUUACUGGGCGUAAAGCGUGCGCAGGCGGUUUUGUAAGCCAGAUGUGAAAGCCCCGGGCUUAACCUGGGAAUGGCAUUUGGGACUGCAAGGCUUGAGUGCGGCAGAGGAGACUGGAAUUCCUGGUGUAGCAGUGAAAUGCGUAGAUAUCAGGAGGAACACCGGUGGUGUAGACGGCUUACUGGACCACGACUGACACUGAGGCACGAAAGCGUGGGUAGCAAACAGG